GAUGAACGCUGGCGGCGUGCCUAAUACAUGCAAGUCGAGCGAACGUACGAGAAUCUUGCUUCUCUGAUGUUAGCGGCGUACGUGUGAGUAACACGUGCUUCACCUACCUUUAAGAUUGGCAUAACUUCGCGAAACCGGUGCUAAUUCCGGAUAAUAUUUUGAACCGCAUGGUUCAAAAGUUAUAUACGUUCUUGCUGUCACUUAUAGCUGUAUCCGGGUUGCAUUAGCUAUUUGGUAAGGUAACGGCUUACCAAGGCAACGAUGCAUAGCGGACCUGAGAGGGUGAUCGGCCGCGAUGGAAAUGAGACACGGUCGAGACGACAAAGGGAGGAAGCAGUAGGGAAUGUUAGGAAAUGGGCGAAAGGCUGACGGAGCAAAAGCGCGAGGGUGAGGAAGGUCGUGGGAGAGGAAAACUCUGUUAUUAGGGAAGAACAUAUGUGGAAGUAAAGGUGCACAGGUUGACGGUACCUGAACAGAAAGCGACGGCUAACUACGUG
This 497-nucleotide ribosomal RNA is filed under the name uncultured bacterium. RNAcentral describes it as "partial 16S ribosomal RNA". It matches the Rfam family "Bacterial small subunit ribosomal RNA", at positions 28 to 507 of the family's 1533-position model. The record is from RNAcentral.